This 468-nucleotide ribosomal RNA is filed under the name uncultured bacterium. RNAcentral describes it as "partial 16S ribosomal RNA". It matches the Rfam family "Bacterial small subunit ribosomal RNA", at positions 28 to 507 of the family's 1533-position model. The record is from RNAcentral.
GACGAACGCUGGCGGCGUGCUUAACACAUGCAAGUCGAACGGAAAGGCCCUGCUUUUGUGGGGUGCUCGAGUGGCGAAAGGGUGAGUAACCCGUGAGUAAACUGCCCUUGCAUUUGGGAUAACCUCAGGAAAAUGGGGCUAAUACCGGAUAGGAGCUCCUGCUGCAUGGUGGGGGUCGGAAAGAUACGGCGGUUGGGGAUGGACUCGUGGCUUAUCAGCUUGUUGGUGGGGUAGUGGCUGACGAAGGCUUUGACGGGUAGCCGGCCUGAGAGGGUGAGCGGCCACAUUGGGACUGCGAUACGGCGCAGACGCCGACGGUAGUCAGCAGUGGGGAAAAGUGUACAGCGGGCGGAAGGCGUGUGCAGCAGCGCCGCGUGGGGGAUGACCGUCUUCGGGUUGUGAACCGCUUUCGGCUGUGAGGGGGCGUGAGUGACGGUAAUGGGUUAAGAAGCGCCGGCUAACUACGUG